CAAAUGCUCCUUGAACUCCAGCACUUGGGGCCAUGCCCGCUGCCCUGGGCAGCCCGUUCCAUGCCCACCACCCUCUGGUGCAGACCCUUUUUUUUUGUAGUACAUUUAUGUUUAUCACCAGCCUGACUGUGUAUUUUUUUUUAGAAAAAUUGCUCUGAAAAGCUUCCCAUGCUUUCUGAGCUGAUGUUGAUUAUAACAGCAGGCAGGGAGGUGCUACUGGAGCAGGCUGACUGAAUAACUGCUAAAAACGUACCUGGCUGAAGUUAUUGAAACUGUCCUCUCCACCACCCCGGCAUUAAUGAAAAGGCUAAUCUUCUCUAAGUCUCUUAUAACCCAGCAAUCUCUUAAGGGGCUGGAUCCGUGAUUAAAAACAGAGGGAAAGCAGCUGUCUUUUUAUCCUCUCAUAAUUAUUCCUUGGUCGUCAAUAGGUGUUGAUUUCCUGGGAGUGUCAUGGUGAUGGAGGUUACGUUUCCCUGUGUUGUUGGGACUAAAUGUUCAGGGGCGUUGGUUGUUUGAGUGCUCCACUGAGAGCUCUGGAGACGGAAAGUGUGAGUGUUGUUCUCUGUGAUUGCAUCGCAUCGUGAAGGUUUGGCUUAUUUUGGAAACGUGCAUCUAAAGGCCAAAAAACAGCUAUCCAGUGUCAAGCUACAGAUGACAAGUGCAAGAGGACUAAUUCACACUGUGUCCUACUUUCAGUGGCGAUGACUCAGUCACCUUGUUACUCUAUUACUUGCAUCUGCAGACUUGGAAAAAUUAAUCUCUCAAGAAG
This is a long non-coding RNA of Gallus gallus (chicken), 769 nucleotides long. The record is from Ensembl. Lineage: Eukaryota; Metazoa; Chordata; Aves; Galliformes; Phasianidae.